RNAcentral lists this transfer RNA (60 nucleotides) under Haemaphysalis montgomeryi. RNAcentral's name for it is "tRNA-Trp". The record is from RNAcentral. Lineage: Eukaryota; Metazoa; Arthropoda; Arachnida; Ixodida; Ixodidae.
AAGAUUUUAAGUUAAAAAAACUAUUUGCCUUCAAAGCAGAAAUUAUUCUCAUAAAUCUUA